UGGGGAAUAUUGCACAAUGGGGGAAACCCUGAUGCAGCGACGCCGCGUGAGCGAAGAAGGUUUUCGAAUCGUAAAGCUCUGUCCUAUGAGAAGAUAAUGACGGUAUCAUAGGAGGAAGCCCCGGCUAAAUACGUGCCAGCAGCCGCGGUAAUACGUAUGGGGCGAGCGUUGUCCGGAUUUAUUGGGCGUAAAGCGAGCGCAGGCGGUUAGAAAAGUCUGAAGUGAAAGGCAGUGGCUCAACCAUUGUAGGCUUUGGAAACUGUUUAACUUGAGUGCAGAAGGGGAGAGUGGAAUUCCAUGUGUAGCGGUGAAAUGCGUAGAUAUAUGGAGGAACACCGGUGGCGAAAGCGGCUCUCUGGUCUGUAACUGACGCUGAGGCUCGAAAGCGUGGGGAGCGAACAGG
This 403-nucleotide ribosomal RNA is filed under the name Verrucomicrobiota bacterium. RNAcentral describes it as "Verrucomicrobia bacterium partial 16S ribosomal RNA". It matches the Rfam family "Bacterial small subunit ribosomal RNA", at positions 355 to 776 of the family's 1533-position model. The record is from RNAcentral. Lineage: Bacteria; Pseudomonadati; Verrucomicrobiota.